GACGAACCGUGCGAACGUUGUUCGGAAUCACUGGGCAUAAAGGGCGCGUAGGCGGUGCGUCAAGUCUUGGGUGAAAUCUUUCGGCUCAACCGGAAAAGUGCCUGGGAUACUGACGUGCUGGAGGGAGAUAGGGGUCUUGGGAACUACCAGUGGAGCGGUGAAAUGCGUUGAGAUUGGUAGGAACGCCGGUGGCGAAAGCGCAAGACUGGGUCUCUUCUGACGCUGAGGCGCGAAAGCCAGGGGAGCAAACGGG
Molecule: ribosomal RNA, 253 nt
Filed under: uncultured bacterium
Lineage: Bacteria
Description: partial 16S ribosomal RNA
Rfam family: Bacterial small subunit ribosomal RNA
Source: RNAcentral